UUAAAAUUUUUAAUUUUUGUGGAUGAUAUAAAUUUAUGGUUGUACUAUAACAAGUAUUGUACAUAAGAAAAUAUCCUUAUUUAUUAUGUUUUAUUUUAUUUUUUUGCUAAAAAUUACUCCCUCCGUCCCACGAAUCUUGACACGUUUGGAUUCGGCACGGGAAUUAAGGAGUUGUAGAUUAGUGUUUUAAGUGUGUAGUUAAUAAAAUAUAAAAGUGAUAAA
This 222-nucleotide long non-coding RNA is filed under the name Salvia miltiorrhiza (redroot sage). RNAcentral's name for it is "long non-coding RNA (SMIL_LNC012435)". Lineage: Eukaryota; Viridiplantae; Streptophyta; Magnoliopsida; Lamiales; Lamiaceae. The record is from RNAcentral.